This 453-nucleotide unclassified non-coding RNA is filed under the name Ficinia nodosa. Its description in RNAcentral is "partial external transcribed spacer 1f". The record is from RNAcentral. Lineage: Eukaryota; Viridiplantae; Streptophyta; Magnoliopsida; Poales; Cyperaceae.
CCAACUGUCAUGGGGCUGUCUUUUCGUUGUCCAUUUGCCUAGUAAUUUGCUAGUUAUGGAUGAUUGCCAUCGGUUGCUUGUAUGGUUCUACUCUUUUGGGUAGUGCAUGAUUGUUUCGUUGAUGCUUAUUUAGCCUGCUCUGUUAAUGUUAUUGUUGACAGGACGGCCGAGAUGUCAGCGAAUUUCAAGUGUUUCCAUGUGCGUAGCCAUGGUAAUGCACUUGGAUGUUCGCUGGGUCUCAUGGAUGCGGUCCCUAUUGUGAGCUCUACGGGCUUCUUGCCCGCAGAACCUGUGAGGUUGCCCCUGCAGAGACCAUUGCUCUAUUGCUUCACCGACACAUCAUUGGCUUAAUUGCCAUGUUGUAGUUGUUGCUAUUUGGGUGUUGUUCUUUGCCUCUGUGGCAUGCCUCUUAGAACAAAUGACUUACGAUUGCUGGUUUGCGUUGUCACAAGG